Molecule: ribosomal RNA, 429 nt
Filed under: uncultured Gammaproteobacteria bacterium
Lineage: Bacteria; Pseudomonadati; Pseudomonadota; Gammaproteobacteria
Description: bacterial SSU rRNA
Rfam family: Bacterial small subunit ribosomal RNA
Source: RNAcentral
UGGGGAAUAUUGGACAAUGGGCGAAAGCCUGAUCCAGCAAUGCCGCGUGUGUGAAGAAGGCCUGCGGGUUGUAAAGCACUUUCAUCAGGGACGAAAAACCCGGGGCGAAUACUCCCGGGCCUUGACUUAACCUGAACAAGAAGCACCGGCUAACUCCGUGCCAGCAGCCGCGGUAAUACGGAGGGUGCGAGCGUUAAUCGGAAUUACUGGGCGUAAAGCGCACGUAGGAGGCGGGAUCAGUCAGAUGUGAAAUCCCCGGGCUCAACCUGGGAAUUGCAUUUGAUACUGUCUCGCUAGAGUCUGGCAGAGGUAAGCGGAAUUCCGGGUGUAGCGGUGGAAUGCGUAGAUAUCCGGAAGAACACCAGUGGCGAAGGCGGCUUACUGGGCCAAGACUGACUCUGAGGUGCGAAAGCGUGGGGAGCGAACAGG